RNAcentral lists this long non-coding RNA (1097 nucleotides) under Sus scrofa (pig). RNAcentral describes it as "lncRNA (ENSSSCG00025000746.1)". Lineage: Eukaryota; Metazoa; Chordata; Mammalia; Artiodactyla; Suidae. The record is from RNAcentral.
GCCUCACUUUGAGCACCAAGACGUUAGACACGAUGACACUGCGGAUUUUAAUAAGUCAGCUUGGAUUCUCAGUGGAAUAGUGGGACCUGAUGGUGCCUUUGGAAAGCAGUUUCAGAGGUAGCUGCUACCGGGGAGAGGAUGAACAUUGCAAAGUGCAUUCUCAUCUCGGGACAAGGCGGCGGAGUACGGGACCUUGAGCUCACCUCCUCUUAACCUGCGUUCUGCCACUGCUGAACCCAAGUGUGACGUCCUCCCUCCAUCCCCCGGUUCAUGGAGGUGGAGGCAGGUCCAGCUGGCAGGCCAGGUCUCCCAGGACGGACAUGGACUGGUUGGCGUGAGGCUCCAGGUUACUUCUUGAUUAAGAACGUCUAACCAUGAUCCUGGGCAGUCAUCAUCUAGUGUAUUGAGAGGUGACAAGUCUCAUCCAGCUGCAGACAUCCUGAGCUCUCUGGGGAAAUGAAGCAAAGGGCAUUGCAGAAAGAAGGAAUGCAGAAUAUUCCAUUUCCUGUUGGCUCACUACCAGGAUUCUGCAUCCUGUUCCAUUUUCAUUAAGGUUUGUUGCACAUGACCCAGUGCUUAAUUUUGUGAUGGGUGGGUGUGAAACCCAAAGUAUUUGAGGGGGAUUAGAUAUUGUUGACACUGCAUUGGGCGGGAGGCUACCAAAUGCUUUCCUCCAUUCCUGUAGCUCAGUUGUUUCCCCAGGGAAAAGAGCAUCGCACGCUCUGGCCCGGAGUCCCAGCUCUGGGCAGACUCUCUGUAAGCGUUUCUCUUUACAGACUGAUCUAUGAUCCAUGACACCCUGUCUGCAGGACAGGCACAACACAGUGGUGAUACGGGACAAGAUCCGAACUUGCCCUAGGUAGAAUUACAAUUCUCCUUCCAGCCUUCCUAGCUAACCCUCGGAUCAGAACACACUCGGAACUCUGAGAGAAAUAGGUAUAGCAAGAAACACAGUGGACCUGUUGGUUUCCAUGUCUGGAUCCAUAUGUAUGUCUAUGGAUGGAACAUUCUGGAAAAGUGACUCAACAUUUUUAUUGUCAAUUAUUAGAAGUCUAUUAUUUAACUAAAAAAAAAAAGUGCACACUUAAAACUCCUAG